CCUACGGGAGGCAGCAGUGAGGAAUAUUGGUCAAUGGGCGCGAGCCUGAACCAGCCAAGUAGCGUGAAGGAUGACUGCCCUACGGGUUGUAAACUUCUUUUAUAAAGGAAUAAAGUGAGGCACGUGUGCCUUUUUGUAUGUACUUUAUGAAUAAGGAUCGGCUAACUCCGUGCCAGCAGCCGCGGUAAUACGGAGGAUCAGAGUGUUAUCCGGACUUAUUGGGUUUAAAGGGAGCGUAGAUGGGUGGUUAAGUCAGUUGUAAAAGUUUGCGGUUCAAACCCUUCGAGCCGUUGAAAUUGGUGUUCUUGAGUGAGUGAGAAGUAUGCGGAAUGCGUGGUGUAGCGGUGAAAUGCAUAGAUAUCACGCAGAACUCCAGUGGCGAAGGCAGCAUACCGGCGCUCAACUGACGCUCAUGCGCGAAAGUGUGGGUAGCGAACAGGAUUAGAUACCCGAGUGGUC
This 459-nucleotide ribosomal RNA is filed under the name uncultured bacterium. RNAcentral's name for it is "partial 16S ribosomal RNA". It matches the Rfam family "Bacterial small subunit ribosomal RNA", at positions 338 to 795 of the family's 1533-position model. The record is from RNAcentral.